UUCCCAGAUACCAUGAAGUAUGUGGAAGUGUUGGCAUCCUGUUGUAUAUCUCUCAGAUUGACACUUAAAAUAUGGCUCAAGUAUCCAGUAUCAGCUGAACUUUGGCUAGUAACUACCUUUCUGAUACAGAGGGCCAUAAAUUUACCUAGGAAGCAAGUCAAUAAUGAGUGCAUAUAUAAGAUUAGGACUUUGCCCGUUUUUUUAGAAUGUUGUACACUAGAGAUAUGAUUGUGAGCAAGAUACAGUGCCCAAAGGAGCCUUCUUCUUCAUUCUGAAGAAAUUAACAAAUAAAAGGCCAAUUCAGUGCAAUUUGAGAAAUGCUACAAAGAGAGGAGGGUGCUAUGGAAACACAUCUGGAAGGGCACUUAACCUGAGCAAGAGAAGGGAAGCUCAUGAAAGAGUUCAUGAAAAAAGUGAUAUCUAACCCCACGCUUAAAAACAGAAAUAGAUUCUUCCUUUUACAUCGUUGCACUGCUGAGAGCAAGAUUGGUCAUCAGCAGCUGUACUGGAGCCACCCGCGUACAUUCGGCCAGGGUUCUCGCUGUUGUCGCGUCUGUUCAAACCCGCACGGUCUGAUCCGGAAAUACGGCCUCAAUGUGCUGCCAGUGUUUCCGUCAGUACGCGAAGGAUAUCGGUUUCAUUAAGUUGGACUAAACGAUCUUCCUUCAAAGGAUUAUCCAAGGCAUCUACUCAAUGAAAAACCAUGAUAGUUCUUUGUACAUAAAAUAAACAUUUGAAAAAAAAAACAAAA
Molecule: RNA transcript, 751 nt
Organism: Nomascus leucogenys (northern white-cheeked gibbon)
Lineage: Eukaryota; Metazoa; Chordata; Mammalia; Primates; Hylobatidae
Gene name: 40S ribosomal protein S29 pseudogene
Exons: 1
Source: RefSeq, a predicted model, not a curated record